Molecule: small nucleolar RNA, 125 nt
Filed under: Echinops telfairi (small Madagascar hedgehog)
Lineage: Eukaryota; Metazoa; Chordata; Mammalia; Afrosoricida; Tenrecidae
Description: Small nucleolar RNA SNORA61 (ENSETEG00000026890.1)
Source: RNAcentral
UCCCUCAGAUUCCUUAUCCCUCAAACCCUAAAUAGUGGUUUGAGUGGCUUAAAAAGAAAGUAGGAAAAGUAAAAUUGAAAUGAUCUUGGAAUUUUUAGUGACAAGCACGUUCAUUUCAAACAAAC